UUGAACGCUGGCGGCAGGCCUAACACAUGCAAGUCGAGCGGAUGAAGGGAGCUUGCUCCUGGAUUCAGCGGCGGACGGGUGAGUAAUGCCUAGGAAUCUGCCUGGUAGUGGGGGAUAACGUCCGGAAACGGACGCUAAUACCGCAUACGUCCUGAGGGAGAAAGUGGGGGAUCUUCGGACCUCACGCUAUCAGAUGAGCCUAGGUCGGAUUAGCUAGUUGGUGGGGUAAAGGCCUACCAAGGCGACGAUCCGUAACUGGUCUGAGAGGAUGAUCAGUCACACUGGAACUGAGACACGGUCCAGACUCCUACGGGAGGCAGCAGUGGGGAAUAUUGGACAAUGGGCGAAAGCCUGAUCCAGCCAUGCCGCGUGUGUGAAGAAGGUCUUCGGAUUGUAAAGCACUUUAAGUUGGGAGGAAGGGCAGUAAGUUAAUACCUUGCUGUUUUGACGUUACCAACAGAAUAAGCACCGGCUAACUUCGUG
This 483-nucleotide ribosomal RNA is filed under the name uncultured bacterium. RNAcentral's name for it is "partial 16S ribosomal RNA". It matches the Rfam family "Bacterial small subunit ribosomal RNA", at positions 30 to 507 of the family's 1533-position model. The record is from RNAcentral.